Long non-coding RNA from Physeter macrocephalus (sperm whale), 2261 nucleotides. RefSeq lists it as uncharacterized. The transcript has 6 exons. NCBI's taxonomy places the organism in Eukaryota, Metazoa, Chordata, Mammalia, Artiodactyla, Physeteridae. The record is from RefSeq and is a predicted model, not a curated record.
GGUUCGGAGGAGACGUGGCGCUGGGGUGAGACGUGAUGCCCAGAAGCGAUCUCAAGUAAGAAAACACACCCAAGUCGCAGUCAGGUUUGAACAGUGAACACUGAAGAACUCGUGACUUCGCAGUAAUGUAAACUGCCCGACAUCUUUUAGGUGCAUAUUCAGUCCCUCUCAGCUGCCCCUGUAGGUGCUGACAAGUACUGGAGUCUCUUACAAACGCUGGGACUGGGGAAAGCAGAUUCCCAAAGAGCAAGCGUGCAAACACCAGAGCCCAGGGUUCUGAUGGACGGUGCUAACGGCGAUAGGAUGCUGCAUCUCACGAAGAUGAAGGAACAUGUCUACUUUUUCAGAUCUACAGUUUCUCCGGCACUUGCUUUGGACGGUGAUGGGGCACAUGCAUAAUUAAAAGAUAAAAACAGGUUCCCCGGAAGCUAUGAAGAUGGUCAAUUCCUGUCCUCAACAAGUUUAUGAUGAAGGGUAGGAAACAGAUUGGCAUGACUGCCUACCAAUAGUGCCUUCAGCUUCCAUCUGGGAGAAAGCAAGGACCCGGUCUUUCAAAACAGCAAGGAGCGGGAGGUGGAGAAGCCCCUGGCACAACUCUGACCCGGAUACAGCCCUGAUCCGAAUUGUGGCAAGUGAGGCUGAACUCAUUCCUUCCUGUUCCCCUAGUGUGACACGGGGGUCACCCAGCUAGCAAUGGAAGUGACUCAGAAGCCUCCCAGUUCACAAUGAUGCUUAAGUGGAGAGAAAAUUCAUUGAACUGGAAGAGAGAUUUUUGUCAGAAGGCAAACUACCCGCAUAUGGCUCUCUACAAUCAUAUAGAUGGUUUUGCUGGUUUGGGCUGAGGCUUUUACUGAAUUGUGAAUAAAUGAUCCUGUUGGCACAGGGGAGGCGUAUUCUACGUGACGUGGUCUUUCAAUUACGUGGCGUGAUGGCAGACUAGCAAGAUGCUGUGCAUUAUCUCCAGAAUUCUGGGGGUAAGAAGGUCAACAACUGUCUCCGAGCUGACUCGGGGCAGAUCCACGUUAAUUACUGUGUUUCUGGGGGAGCUGGGGGAGACAAAGCAGAGAGCGCCAAGAACACCCAUGGGUUACAGUUAAAAAAUCAAACCAAACCAAUGAAGCCUGACUUUGGAAACAGUUCCUUAUAUAUCGUAAAAACUAUUUAUAAAACAAAACAUGACUCCAUAGAUACAACAACAACGCUUGACUUUGGAAACAGUUCCAUCCUUAUAUAUUAUAAAAACUAUUUGUAAAACAAAACAUGACUCCAUAGAUACAACUUUCCUUCUGGCUUAAUCAUUUCCCCACCCAGCUUCCACUCCCAGUGCGGUUGGCAGUGAGGUUAGAGACAGAAGGGGAUAAAAAGCCACAGAAAAGAGACUGAAGAAGUUGGAAUUCAAAACGUAAGUUGUCACCUUGCCAGAAACGGACGAGAAUCUGGAGGCCCUGAUUUGCCUGGGGAUGCUGGUGGAGACACCACACCACGUGGGAACAGGAGGUGGCUCCAGCUCAGCUGAGUCGACCGGCUGCAUGGACUUCAUUUCUGUCCUCCCAUCUCUGGGAACCAGCCUCCCAGAUAACAGCAACCUGCACAAAGCUCGUGCUUGCCACCCUCCUGUUAACCCACCAGGGUCUCCAUUCUCCCUCCAGACAUUUUCUUUUCCCUUCAGCUGGCUUUCAACUCGAUUCCUCAUAAAACGUUAAUCGCGAGGUAAGUUUUAUUUGACGGUAUCUUAGGAUGUGCCAUUUCCCAAGGAAGCCAUGUUUUCUUUAACACAGUAUAGCAGGCACAGGGGAUUACAUUAUUGAGCUAUAAUAGCCAUAUGUGCAUUCCUGGCUCUUUGUCAGAGUCCUAAAUUAAUCGGAUUCUCUCCUGCUCCCAUCUAAAGCUCAGAGCAGAUACUCCUGUGUUGCAGAUGGGUCUUUGCCACUCACAGUGUGGUUCACGGAGCUGCAGGGGUGACAUCACCUGGGAGCUUGUUAGAAUGCAAAUCUCAGACCCCACCCUUGCCAUACCCACUGGAUCAGAAUCUUCACUUUUGUAAAGUCCCCCCGCUGAUCCAUAUGCACGAUAAAGUUUGAGAAGCAAGUGGUCUAAGCAAGUGGUUUUCAAACUGUGGGCUGCCACUCGUUAGUAAGUCAUGAAAUCAAUUCAGUGCUUGCGACCAGGAUUUUUAAAAAAAUGCAAUCAUAUAGAGAACAUAUGAGUGCAUCAUAUGUAGUAGGGGUAAAUCUUGUGAAAUUUGUUUCAAUUAUUGUUAA